This 253-nucleotide ribosomal RNA is filed under the name uncultured bacterium. RNAcentral's name for it is "partial 16S ribosomal RNA". It matches the Rfam family "Bacterial small subunit ribosomal RNA", at positions 524 to 776 of the family's 1533-position model. The record is from RNAcentral.
UACAGAGGGGGCAAGCGUUAUUCGGAAUUAUUGGGCGUAAAGGGCGCGUAGGCGGUUCUUCAAGUCUCUCGUGAAAUCCCUCGGCUUAACUGAGGACGUGCGGGAGAUACUGAAGGGCUUGAGUCCGGAAGAGGGUGGUGGAAUUCCCAGUGUAGCGGUGAAAUGCGUAGAUAUUGGGAGGAACACCGGUGGCGAAGGCGGCCACCUGGGCCGGAACUGACGCUGAGGCGCGAAAGCGUGGGGAGCAAUCGGG